AAUGAACGUUGGCGGCGUGGAUUAGGCAUGCAAGUCGAACGAAUCCCGUAGCAAUACGGGGGAAGUGGCGAAAGGGGCAGUAAGGCGUGGACAACCUGCCCCGGGCUCCGGGAUAGCCUUCCUAACGGAUGGGUAAUACCGGGUACGCUCCCCUGAAGACAUCUUCGGGGGAGGAUAGUUCCGACGGCCCGGGAGGGGUUCACGUGAUAUUAGCUAGUUGGUGAGGUAACGGCUCACCAAGGCCAAGAUGUCUAGCGGGUGUGAGAGCACGACCCGCGCCACUGGGACUGAGACACGGCCCAGACUCCUACGGGAGGCAGCAGUGGGGAAUUUUGGACAAUGGGCGCAAGCCUGAUCCAGCCAUGCCGCGUGAGUGAAGAAGGCCUUAGGGUUGUAAAGCUCUUUUAGUAAGGAAAAUAAUGAUGGUACUUACAGAAAAAGACACCGGCUAACUCCGUG
RNAcentral lists this ribosomal RNA (459 nucleotides) under uncultured bacterium. Its description in RNAcentral is "bacterial SSU rRNA". It matches the Rfam family "Bacterial small subunit ribosomal RNA", at positions 29 to 507 of the family's 1533-position model. The record is from RNAcentral.